GAGCGGAUGAUGGGAGCUUGCUCCUGGAUUCAGCGGCGGACGGGUGAGUAAUGCCUAGGAAUCUGCCUGGUAGUGGGGGACAACGUUUCGAAAGGAACGCUAAUACCGCAUACGUCCUACGGGAGAAAGCAGGGGACCUUCGGGCCUUGCGCUAUCAGAUGAGCCUAGGUCGGAUUAGCUAGUUGGUGGGGUAAAGGCUCACCAAGGCGACGAUCCGUAACUGGUCUGAGAGGAUGAUCAGUCACACUGGAACUGAGACACGGUCCAGACUCCUACGGGAGGCAGCAGUGGGGAAUAUUGGACAAUGGGCGAAAGCCUGACCCAGCCAUGCCGCGGGUGUGAAGAAGGUCUUCGGAUUGUAAAGCACUUUUCGUGGUGAGUCGGGCAGUAAGCUAGUACCUUGCUGUGUUCACGUUCCCGACAAAUUAAGUACGGUUUAACUCUGUGCCAGCACCCGCGGUAUACCGACUUUGCAAGCGUUAUCCGAAAUAAUAGCCCUAAAGUGCGCGUAGGUGGUUUGUAAGUUGCUGUGAAACCCCGGGUAACCAGCAACUGAUUCCAAACUGGCA
Molecule: ribosomal RNA, 569 nt
Filed under: Pseudomonas sp. G109(B)
Lineage: Bacteria; Pseudomonadati; Pseudomonadota; Gammaproteobacteria; Pseudomonadales; Pseudomonadaceae
Description: bacterial SSU rRNA
Rfam family: Bacterial small subunit ribosomal RNA
Source: RNAcentral